GCGUUGCUCAUUUUGGACGUACAUCUGCAGGGAGAAAGCAGCCUGCAAAGAUGUCCAGACUGUUGUCUCUCAGAGUAAAGAUGCUGAGGUGGCUCCCCCUGUUGUCCAGUUGCUGAUGUCCCACUUCUUACUUCAUGUAGAUACAAUAUCCAGCUGUCUGAUGUUGAGAGGAGCCUCAUCCAACCCCUGAAUCAUCUAAUAUUGAUCAGUGUGUAUUCCACAAUAUAUGUUCCUGCACAACCGAAGGCUGAAGUUUCAGGACCCUAUUUCAUGUGACAUCUAGCCAUUUCUAUUUCAAUAGAGGAGACUUAAAACCAACUUAAAAGCAUUAAAUUCCAUUAAGUACACAAGUACUUUUUUUUAAAUUUAUUAACAAUACUACUAAUUGACUUUAGGUAGAGAUGAGUCCUUUAAGAGAAAUGUCUUGCAUAUUAAUCUGUUUAAUAUAAUAUAAAGUGUGAUUGUUUCCAAAAAACAUUUGAUGAAGAACCUCAAAAGAACAUAACGAAUAGAGUAAAAUGUUCUCUCUUCAAGUAAAAUUAAAAUAAUUUUUCUGUUGGACCAGAACUCUCCUAUUGGAUUUGUUUUUUUCAACUUCUGAUGUCAGAUCACCUGACAACAUUGAUGACUUUUCAAUGGAUGUUAACUUUUCUUUUGCCACCUCUUCUUACCAAGGUUACUUUCGUAAACGAAAACUGAAACUAAGACUAAAACUAUUGGUCAAAAACAUUUUCGUAAACUGAAAUAAAAUAAAAAUUUCUAAAUAAAUGAAAAACUAAAACUAAACGAAACUAACAACAGUAACUGAAAAACUAACGAAAAUAAAAUAAUAAUUAGCAAAAAUAAAUAAUCGUGUUCGUGAUUUUAAUAAGCUGUCAUUCUGUGCCAGAAAAUCGGACCUGUGGUUGUUCAGGGAAAUAGAUGGUGCUUCAUGCACGUGAGCUGCGUCCUAAGCGGCUAUUCACAGAGAAUGCGUUUUUGCAUUUAAAAAACAAGAGGUGGGCUAUGAAAUGGGAAAUAAUAAUAAUGCACACUUUACAGCGCACGAACGUUUAAAAGCUUGCUUGACGUGCGAGAACAACAUGAGAGUGAGUUAGACACAGAAUUAAAAGUUUUGGAUGAGCUGACUUUAGUGAAUAGUCAUUUUGUCACGCUUUGCGAUUUACUAUGGUAAGGUCCGUCUCGAAUCCAUGACACGAGCACCGCCUUGACUUUAUAAAACGCAUCCGAAAUGAGAGAAAGUGAUAGCCGCGCUGUGUUUUCACCGCUGGCCGUGUUGUGUAAAAGGGGCUGUAGAACUGGGAUUGAUUGCGUUGCUCAUCUGAAGCGCGUGCGCGCUGGAGCGGUGCAAACAUCAUUUAAAUCACCAUCGCAUUUAUUUUUGAGUAGUAUGAGGUUUCAAAGCAUUUUAGAUUGUUUAUUCUUAUUGUGUACGUUCAUAGAGGGAGACGGGACAUACAGUGUGCACCGGUGGCUCGUAUGUGCAAAAAAUCCAGCAAAUUAAUGCAUUGAAAACACAGAUGAACAAAAAUAAAGUUUACAGAGUUUCAGUGACGAUUGCAAACAACAAGCCUGCGUCCCAAUGUUUACACUGUCCAUGCUAAAAUCUAUGUGAUUUAAGUAAUUUUUAAUACUAUUUAGGGCAGAUAGGGUGGAUAGUAUGCACAUUGGGACGCAGGGCAUCUUUCCUCAAAUCCAGCACUGGAGGGCCAUUGAUCUGCAGAAUUUAGCUCCAGCCCUGAUACAAACUCAACUGUCUGAUGCUGUCUAGUAACUCUGAAAACCUUGAUUAGCUUGUUGUUUGUAAACUAUUGGCAUAUUAAACAAGAUUACAUCUUUAAUAUGAAUGAAUAUGAACAUGAAUGUGAAUUAAUAAAUUGUAUCCAUAUAAGCUGCAUAUUUUUGGUUUUUGUUGAAUUGCAAAUAAUUAUUUUAUUGUCAUUAUUAAGAGGUUUGCACAAGAGUUAACUGUAAACUGCAAACAUUCAACUUUGCUAAAAUUAAAUGUCUUGGUUUGGUCUACAUUAACUCUGUUAAAAUAUAAUAACUAAAAUAUAUAAAAACUGUGUUCACAAAAUAAAAACUAAACUAAAACUAACAAAACCAUUAAUGAAACUAACUUUAACUCAACUGAAAUUAUAGGAAAUUUGAAAACGAUAUUAAAUAAAAACUAAUUUAAAAAUUCAAAACUAUAAUAUCCUUGCUUCUUACUACAUCUGAAUCAACCAUCCCUGCAAACCUGCCAGUCUGGUCUUCAUUAGAGAUGUCUCAAGUAGAUCUCAAGGAUCAGGAUCAGGGCCAAUUGAGCAUUUCUUUAACUGAUCGGUAUCAGCUCUUCUAAGCCUGAUCAUUAUUUUAUGUCAGAUGUCAUGCCGGUGUCGUGCAGUAGAUGGCGGUGUGGACCUUUUAAGUGGGUUUACCAACCACCAUUAAAAGGAAAAGAAGACAAAUGUGCAGUGCUGCCAGCUUGGGGAGUGUGACACCAAAUUUAAUGACUUUCUCAUUGUUGCUGUGACUGUUAUUAAUUCUUUGUGACAAGGAGCUAUCUUAGCAAAGUAUAUUUGGCUUUUUUUUUUUUUUUUUUGUGGUCAACAAACACAUCUCAGAUCAUUUCAUUAUCACUUUUAAUCUACAUCUACCUUCACACCACCAACCCCUCUGCCAGUUUCAUUUAGACAAUACUUAAGGUCUCUUAUUCUUCUCGACUUUGCACUGUGCAUCGUCCUCUCUUCCCACCCCCACACAUUUAUUAUCAUUAGAUGUGAACUGUGCCAUGAAUAUGUUGUUUUCUACCAUAACUACCUGCCUAGACACUAUCUGUCCUCUUUUCUCCAGCAUGUGCUACUCACCCCAAGUCUUCCGUGAGCACCAGACUAACCUCAGUCAGGGCAGCAAAGAGAAAAUGGCACAAAUCAAAAAGACUGAGCUGAUCUAAAUAGGUAUCAGUCACAGCUACAGCUGACCAUCUUCUCACCACCUCCUCUUCACUUACAGAAGAUGAAGUCUCUAAACCUAUCCUCUCCAGCCACCCUACCAUCUGUCCUCCAGAUUCAAUCCCCUCAGAUCUCCUGCACUUCUGCCUUCACUCACACAUCAUCAACAUCUCUUCUCGCAGGCAUUCAAGCAGGCAGCUUGGGUAACCCCACUGCUCAUAAAACUUAUAAUAGACACCUCACUUGUUGAGAGCUAGAGGCUCGUCUCUCUUUCAUAGCAAAAUCACUUGAACACAUUGCUUUCACCCAAGUGUCUUCCUUCCUCUCACAGAACAACCAGUUGGGGAAGAACCAGUCAGGAUUUAAAAGUGGCCAUUCAACUGAAACCACCUUGCUGUGAGUCACUGGAUCGUUACAGAGUGCAAGAGCUGAGUCCAAAUCAUCAGUUCUCAUUCUGCUAGAUUUAUCUGCUCAUCAAAUCCUUCUGUCCAUCCUCUCAUCACUGUGCGUCACCAGUCCAGAACUGCAAUUCACUUUUCUGAGUCUCACCUUACAGCCAGAUGAUCCAACGGUACCUGCUGGGAUCUCAGGCUGCCUGACGGACAUCUUGGCAUGAAUGAAAGAGCAUCACCUGCAGCUGAACCUGGCAAAGACUGAGCUUCUCAUCUUCUCAGCCACCCUAUCAGUACAGCACCAGUUUACCAUCCAACUGGGCUCAUCAACGAUAACCCCAUUGAGUUCGACCAGGAAGAUUGGGGUGAUCCUUGAUGAUCAGCUGAUCUUUAAAGAUCAUAUUGCUAAAACAGCAUGAUCUUGCAGGCAGCGUUUUAACCCUGGAGUGAGUGAGAAGGAAGCAGCAGCUUUUAUCAUCAAAGUCAUUCAGAACUGCUUCCUGAGCAGCAGGAGCAAAACGUAUGACAUGAUCCAGUACUAUCAGAACCAGAUCCCCUACUGAAGGCCAGAGAAACCUGAGUGUGUGUGUUUCUCUUACUCUCUUAAUGCUAAAUUGCACUGCUGUCUCGGUCUGGUGUGUUUGUGCACUUUAUACACCUGAAAUGUUUGCAUGGAUUUCUACGCACUGAUAUCAGCACUUAUGAGACAUUUUCUGGACACGUCACACUGUCUGCUGCAUGAUGGGUAAACAUUACAAAAUCACUUUUGUGCCAUUUUGAUUUGUAUUUGAUGUGAUUUUAUUGUCAGUCUUAAAUAAUUUCCAGAUAAAUCAUGUAGUUUGUAAACUACAGCAGACGUGUUUAUGAACAUGAACGGCCUGAACUGCAGACAGAUGUCAUAUUUCAGAGUAACGUGGCGCAUUAUUGACUGGAACUUUCUAGAAGCCAACGACCGGAAACGACACAGACAGCUCUGAAGGGCAUUAAGCAGGACAAAAGCAGUUGACUACUAUACAUUUGUCAUAUGUCGACAGUCAUUACUGUCAUGAGACCGGGUCCACGAUGCUCCCCCUCACCACCAGAGGUCGCCACCUCCCGUCUUCCCGGACUCAAUUGCCAUUACCACACACACCUGCCACUGAUCACACUCCCAGCUGUUCUCCAUCACCAUGGUCUAUUUAUACGCCACACUCCCGCUACUCUGUCUGGUAGAAUAAUAAUUGUUCGUUGUUUGUGUAGUUGCUGUUCUGACUCUGGGGAUACAUGCACUGUGUUGCCGUUUCAUGUAUCCCACUCCUUUACCUGUUUUGUUUUUGCCCUGUUGGCUUUUUCGUUGUUUAUUAAAGUGUUUUUUC
Molecule: long non-coding RNA, 4680 nt
Organism: Onychostoma macrolepis
Lineage: Eukaryota; Metazoa; Chordata; Actinopteri; Cypriniformes; Cyprinidae
Exons: 7
Source: RefSeq, a predicted model, not a curated record